RNAcentral lists this ribosomal RNA (2903 nucleotides) under human gut metagenome. Its description in RNAcentral is "bacterial LSU rRNA". It matches the Rfam family "Bacterial large subunit ribosomal RNA". The record is from RNAcentral.
UUAAGCGACUAAGCGUACACGGUGGAUGCCCUGGCAGUCAGAGGCGAUGAAGGACGUGCUAAUCUGCGAAAAGCGCCGGCGAGGUGAUAUGAACCUUUGACCCGGCGAUGUCCGAAUGGGGAAACCCAGUGCAAUUCGUUGCACUAUCGUUAACUGAAUACAUAGGUUAACGAGGCGAACCGGGGGAACUGAAACAUCUAAGUACCCCGAGGAAAAGAAAUCAACCGAGAUUCCCCCAGUAGCGGCGAGCGAACGGGGAGCAGCCCAGAGUCUGAAUCAGCUUGUGUGUUAGUGGAACGGUCUGGAAAGUCCGACGGUACAGGGUGAUAGUCCCGUACACGAAAAUGCACAGGCUGUGAACUCGAAGAGUAGGGCGGGACACGUGGUAUCCUGUCUGAAUAUGGGGGGACCAUCCUCCAAGGCUAAAUACUCCUGACUGACCGAUAGUGAACCAGUACCGUGAGGGAAAGGCGAAAAGAACCCCGGCGAGGGGAGUGAAAAAGAACCUGAAACCGUGUACGUACAAGCAGUGGGAGCACCCUUCGGGGUGUGACUGCGUACCUUUUGUAUAAUGGGUCAGCGACUUAUAUUCUGUAGCAAGGUUAACCGAAUAGGGGAGCCGAAGGGAAACCGAGUCUUAACUGGGCGUUAAGUUGCAGGGUAUAGACCCGAAACCCGGUGAUCUAGCCAUGGGCAGGUUGAAGGUUGGGUAACACUAACUGGAGGACCGAACCGACUAAUGUUGAAAAAUUAGCGGAUGACUUGUGGCUGGGGGUGAAAGGCCAAUCAAACCGGGAGAUAGCUGGUUCUCCCCGAAAGCUAUUUAGGUAGCGCCUCGUGAACUCAUCUUCGGGGGUAGAGCACUGUUUCGGCUAGGGGGUCAUCCCGACUUACCAACCCGAUGCAAACUGCGAAUACCGAAGAAUGUUAUCACGGGAGACACACGGCGGGUGCUAACGUCCGUCGUGAAGAGGGAAACAACCCAGACCGCCAGCUAAGGUCCCAAAGUCAUGGUUAAGUGGGAAACGAUGUGGGAAGGCACAGACAGCCAGGAUGUUGGCUUAGAAGCAGCCAUCAUUUAAAGAAAGCGUAAUAGCUCACUGGUCGAGUCGGCCUGCGCGGAAGAUGUAACGGGGCUAAACCAUGCACCGAAGCUGCGGCAGCGACACUAUGUGUUGUUGGGUAGGGGAGCGUUCUGUAAGCCUGUGAAGGUGGCCUGUGAGGGUUGCUGGAGGUAUCAGAAGUGCGAAUGCUGACAUAAGUAACGAUAAAGCGGGUGAAAAGCCCGCUCGCCGGAAGACCAAGGGUUCCUGUCCAACGUUAAUCGGGGCAGGGUGAGUCGACCCCUAAGGCGAGGCCGAAAGGCGUAGUCGAUGGGAAACAGGUUAAUAUUCCUGUACUUGGUGUUACUGCGAAGGGGGGACGGAGAAGGCUAUGUUAGCCGGGCGACGGUUGUCCCGGUUUAAGCAUGUAGGCGGAGGUUCCAGGUAAAUCCGGUACCUUUUAACGCUGAGGUGUGAUGACGAGGCACUACGGUGCUGAAGUAACAAAUGCCCUGCUUCCAGGAAAAGCCUCUAAGCAUCAGGUAACACGAAAUCGUACCCCAAACCGACACAGGUGGUCAGGUAGAGAAUACCAAGGCGCUUGAGAGAACUCGGGUGAAGGAACUAGGCAAAAUGGUGCCGUAACUUCGGGAGAAGGCACGCUGACAUGUAGGUGAAGCCCCUGCGGGUGGAGCUGAAGUCAGUCGAAGAUACCAGCUGGCUGCAACUGUUUAUUAAAAACACAGCACUGUGCAAACACGAAAGUGGACGUAUACGGUGUGACGCCUGCCCGGUGCCGGAAGGUUAAUUGAUGGGGUUAUCCGUAAGGAGAAGCUCUUGAUCGAAGCCCCGGUAAACGGCGGCCGUAACUAUAACGGUCCUAAGGUAGCGAAAUUCCUUGUCGGGUAAGUUCCGACCUGCACGAAUGGCGUAAUGAUGGCCAGGCUGUCUCCACCCGAGACUCAGUGAAAUUGAACUCGCUGUGAAGAUGCAGUGUACCCGCGGCAAGACGGAAAGACCCCGUGAACCUUUACUAUAGCUUGACACUGAACAUUGAGCCUUGAUGUGUAGGAUAGGUGGGAGGCUUUGAAGCGUGGACGCCAGUCUGCGUGGAGCCAACCUUGAAAUACCACCCUUUAAUGUUUGAUGUUCUAACUCGGCCCCAUAAUCUGGGGUGAGGACAGUGUCUGGUGGGUAGUUUGACUGGGGCGGUCUCCUCCCAAAGCGUAACGGAGGAGCACGAAGGUUAGCUAAUCCUGGUCGGACAUCAGGAGGUUAGUGCAAUGGCAUAAGCCAGCUUGACUGCGAGCGUGACGGCGCGAGCAGGUGCGAAAGCAGGUCAUAGUGAUCCGGUGGUUCUGAAUGGAAGGGCCAUCGCUCAACGGAUAAAAGGUACUCCGGGGAUAACAGGCUGAUACCGCCCAAGAGUUCAUAUCGACGGCGGUGUUUGGCACCUCGAUGUCGGCUCAUCACAUCCUGGGGCUGAAGUAGGUCCCAAGGGUAUGGCUGUUCGCCAUUUAAAGUGGUACGCGAGCUGGGUUUAGAACGUCGUGAGACAGUUCGGUCCCUAUCUGCCGUGGGCGCUGGAGAAUUGAGGGGGGCUGCUCCUAGUACGAGAGGACCGGAGUGGACGCAUCACUGGUGUUCGGGUUGUCAUGCCAAUGGCACUGCCCGGUAGCUAAAUGCGGAAGAGAUAAGUGCUGAAAGCAUCUAAGCACGAAACUUGCCCCGAGAUGAGUUCUCCCUGAGACUUAGAGUCUCCUGAAGGAACGUUGAAGACGACGACGUUGAUAGGCCGGGUGUGUAAGCGCAGCGAUGCGUUGAGCUAACCGGUACUAAUGAACCGUGAGGCUUAACCUU